GCCUACGGCCAUGCCACCCUGAAUGCGCCCGCUCUCAUUUAAUCUUAGAAGCUAAGCAGGGUACGGCCUGGUUAAUACGUGGACGGGAGACCACCUUGGAAGACCAGGUGCUGCAGGCG
Pteropus vampyrus (large flying fox) is the source of this 119-nucleotide ribosomal RNA. The record is from Ensembl. NCBI's taxonomy places the organism in Eukaryota, Metazoa, Chordata, Mammalia, Chiroptera, Pteropodidae.